AUGGCUAGACAAGAUAAUAUGGCUAGACAAGAUAAUAUGGCUAGACAAGAUAAUAUAGUUAGACAAGCUAGCCUGAAAUGGCUUCUUCAAAUCAAGCUUUAUUUAUACAGCAUAUUUCAGGUAUGUAAUGCAACACAAUGUGUUUCAGGAGAGAGUGGUAGUAGUAGUAGUAUCAGUAGUAGUAGUGGUAGUAGUAGUAGUAGUAGUAUCAGUAGUAGUAGUAUCAGUAAUAGUAGUGGUGGUAGUAGUGGUAGUAGUAGUAGUAGUAGUAUCAGUAGUAGUAGUGGUAGUAGUAGUAGUAGUAGUAUCAGUAGUAGUAGUAUCAGUAAUAGUAGUGGUGGUAGUAGUGGUAGUAGUAGUAGUAGUAGUAUCAGUAGUAGUAAUAGUAGUAGUAGUAUCAGUAGUAGUAAUAGUAGUAAUAUCAGUAGUAGUAGUAGUGGUAGUAGUAGUAGUAGUAUCAGUAGUAGUAGUAGUGGCAGUAGUAGUAGUAGUAGUAGUAGUAGUAGUAGUAGUGGUAGUAGUAGUAUCAGUAGUAGUAGUAGUGGUGGUAGUAGUAUCAGUAAUAGUAUCAGUAGUAGUAAUAGUAGUAGUAUCAGUGGUGGUAGUGGUAGCAGUAGUAAUAGUAGUAGUAGUAGUAUCAGUAGUAGUAGCAGUAGUAGUAGUAGUAGUAGUAGUAGUAGUAGUGGUAGUAGUAGUAGUGAUAGUAGUAGUAGUAUCAGUAGUAGUAGUAGUUGUAGUAUCAGUAGCAGUAGUAUCAGUAGUAGUGGUAGCAGUAGUAUCAGUAGUCGCAGUAGUAGUAGUAGUAGUGGUGGUGGUAGUAGUAGUAAUAGUAGUAGUAUCAGUAGUAGUAAUAGUAGUAGCAGUGGUAGUAGUAGUAGUAGUGGUAGUAGUAAUAGUAGUAGUAGUAUCAGUAGUAGUAGUAUCAGUAGUAGUAGCAGUAGUAGUAGUAAUAGUAGUAGUAUCAGUACUAGUAAUAGUAGUAGCAGUGGUAGUAGUAGUAGUAGUAUCAGUAGUAGUAGUAGUUGUAGUAUCAGUAGUAGUAUCAGUAGUACUAGCAGCAGUAUCAAUAGCAGUAGUAGUAGUAGCAGCAGUAGUAGUAGUAAUAGUUGUAGUAGCAGUUGUAGUAGUAGUAGUAUCAGUAGUAGUAGUAGUAGUAGUAGUAGUAGUAUCAGUAGUAGUAGUAGUAGUAGUAUCAGUAGUAGUAGCAGUUGUAGUAGUAUCAGUAGUAGUAUCAGUAGUAGCAGUUACAGUAGUAGUAGUAGUAGUAGUAUCAGUAGUAGUAGCAGUAUCAGUAGUAGUAGUAGUAGUAGUAGUAUCAGUAGUAGUAGCAGUUGUAGUAGUAGCAGUUGUAGUAGUAGCAGUUGUAGUAGUAGCAGUUGUAGUAGUAGUAGUAGCAGUAUCAGUAGUAGUAGCAGUUGUAGUAGCAGUAGUAGUAGUAUCAGUAGUAGCAGUUACAGUAGUAGUAGUAGUAUCAGUAGUAGUAUCAGUAGUAUUAGUAGCAGUAUCAGUAGUAGUAGUAGCAGUUGUAGUAGCAGUAGUAGUAGUAUCAGUAGUAGUAGUAGUAUCAGUAGUAGUAGUAGCAGUUGUAGUAUCAGUAGUAGUAGUAGUAGUAGUAGUAGUAGCAGUAGUAGUAGCAGUAGUAGUCGCAGUAUCAGUAGUAGUAGCAGUUGUAGUAGUAGUAGUAGCAGUUGUAGUAGUAGUAGUAGCAGUUGUAGUAGUAGCAGUUGUAGUAGUAGCAGUUGUAGUAGUAGUAGUAGCAGUUGUAGUAGUAGUAGUAGCAGUUGUAGUAGUAGUAGUAGUAGUAGUUGUUGUUGUAGCAGUUGUAGUAGUAGUAGUAUCAGUAGUUGUAGUAGUAGUAGCAGUUGUAGUAGCAGUAGUAGUAUUAGUAUCAGUAGUAGUACAGGUGUUGGUACUCUCUUUACCAGUGAGUCUGUCUACAGGUGUUGCUACUAUCUUUACCAGUGA
Molecule: long non-coding RNA, 1965 nt
Filed under: Oncorhynchus mykiss (rainbow trout)
Lineage: Eukaryota; Metazoa; Chordata; Actinopteri; Salmoniformes; Salmonidae
Description: lncRNA (ENSOMYG00000059819.1)
Source: RNAcentral